GACCCCUUGGCUCAGUGGUAGAGCGUCGCAUUCCAGUCCAUACGCUGCCUCGCGAAGGCCGUCCGUUCGAUCCGGGCAGGGGUCA
Mycena vulgaris is the source of this 85-nucleotide non-coding RNA. The record is from the annotation of a GenBank genome assembly. NCBI's taxonomy places the organism in Eukaryota, Fungi, Basidiomycota, Agaricomycetes, Agaricales, Mycenaceae.